UACGAAGGGGGCUAGCGUUGCUCGGAAUCACUGGGCGUAAAGGGUGCGUAGGCGGGUCUUUAAGUCAGGGGUGAAAUCCUGGAGCUCAACUCCAGAACCGCCUUUGAUACUGAGGAUCUUGAGUUCGGGAGAGGUGAGUGGAACUGCGAGUGUAGAGGUGAAAUUCGUAGAUAUUCGCAAGAACACCAGCGGCGAAGGCGGCUCACUGGCCCGAUACUGACGCUGAGGCACGAAAGCGUGGGGAGCAAACAGG
RNAcentral lists this ribosomal RNA (253 nucleotides) under uncultured bacterium. RNAcentral describes it as "partial 16S ribosomal RNA". It matches the Rfam family "Bacterial small subunit ribosomal RNA", at positions 524 to 776 of the family's 1533-position model. The record is from RNAcentral.